UCAUUGCUCAGUUGGUAAAGCACAAAGCUCUUAACCUUGUGGACGUGGGUUCAAGCCCGUGAUGAG
Molecule: transfer RNA, 66 nt
Filed under: Triticum aestivum (bread wheat)
Lineage: Eukaryota; Viridiplantae; Streptophyta; Magnoliopsida; Poales; Poaceae
Also listed under: 1 other name
Rfam family: tRNA
About the family: Transfer RNA (tRNA) molecules are approximately 80 nucleotides in length. Their secondary structure includes four short double-helical elements and three loops (D, anti-codon, and T loops).
Source: Rfam by way of RNAcentral